GGGCCCUUAGCUCAGUGGUUAGAGCGUCCGGCUCAUAACCGGCAGGUCCCUGGUUCGAAACCAGGAGGGCCCACCA
This 76-nucleotide transfer RNA is filed under the name Bdellovibrionales bacterium. Its description in RNAcentral is "tRNA-Ile". It matches the Rfam family "tRNA". Rfam says of the family: Transfer RNA (tRNA) molecules are approximately 80 nucleotides in length. Their secondary structure includes four short double-helical elements and three loops (D, anti-codon, and T loops). Further hydrogen bonds mediate the characteristic L-shaped molecular structure. tRNAs have two regions of fundamental functional importance: the anti-codon, which is responsible for specific mRNA codon recognition, and the 3' end, to which the tRNAs corresponding amino acid is attached (by aminoacyl-tRNA synthetases). tRNAs cope with the degeneracy of the genetic code in two manners: having more than one tRNA (with a specific anti-codon) for a particular amino acid; and 'wobble' base-pairing, i.e. permitting non-standard base-pairing at the 3rd anti-codon position. Lineage: Bacteria; Pseudomonadati; Bdellovibrionota; Bdellovibrionia; Bdellovibrionales. The record is from RNAcentral.